AUCCAGCCAUGCCGCGUGUGUGAAGAAGGCCUUAUGGUUGUAAAGCACUUUGAAGCGAGGAGGAGGAGCUCUAUGGUUAAUACCUAAGAUGCAGUGGACGUUACUCGCAGAAUAAGCACCGGCUAACUCUGUGCCAGCAGCCGCGGUAAUACAGAGGGUGCGAGCGUUAAUCGGAUUUACUGGGCGUAAAGCGUACGUAGGCGGCUUUUGAAGUCGGAUGUGAAAUCCCUGAGCUUAACUUGAGGAAUUGCAUUCGAUACUGGGAAGCUAGAGUAUGGGAGAGGAUGGUAGAAUUCCAGGUGUAGCGGUGAAAUGCGUAGAGAUCUGGAGGAAUACCGAUGGCGAAGGCAGCCAUCUGGCCUAAUACUGACGCUGAGGUACGAAAGCAUGGGGAGCAAACAGGAUUAGAUACCCUGGUAGUCCAUGCCGUAAACGAUGUCUACUAGCCGUUGGGGCCUUUGAGGCUNUAGUGGCGCAGCUAACGCGAUAAGUAGACCGCCUGGGGAGUACGGUCGCAAGACUAAAACUCA
RNAcentral lists this ribosomal RNA (530 nucleotides) under bacterium E-2-0-2A. RNAcentral describes it as "bacterial SSU rRNA". It matches the Rfam family "Bacterial small subunit ribosomal RNA", at positions 386 to 903 of the family's 1533-position model. The record is from RNAcentral.